CCUACGGGGGGCUGCAGUGGGGAAUAUUGGGCAAUGGGCGCAAGCCUGACCCAGCAAAGCCGCGUGAAGGAAGAAGGCUUUCGGGUUGUAAACUUCUUUUGUCAGGGAAGAGUAGAAGACGGUACCUGACGAAUAAGCCACGGCUAACUACGUGCCAGCAGCCGCGGUCAUACGAAGGUGGGCGGCGGUGUCCGGAUUUACUGGGGGUAAAGGGCGUGUAGCCGGGUUGACAAGUCAGAUGUGAAAUCCUGCGGCUUAACCGGAGAACUGCAUUUGAAACUGUUGAUCUUGAGUACUGGAGAGGCAGGUGGAAUUCCUAGUGUAGCGGUGAAAUGCGUAGAUAUUAGGAGGAACACCAGUGGCGAAGGCGGUCUUCUGGACAGCAACUGACGGUGAGGCGCGAAAGCGUGGGGAGCAAACAGGAUUAGAUACCCUUGUAGUC
This 442-nucleotide ribosomal RNA is filed under the name uncultured bacterium. Its description in RNAcentral is "partial 16S ribosomal RNA". It matches the Rfam family "Bacterial small subunit ribosomal RNA", at positions 338 to 795 of the family's 1533-position model. The record is from RNAcentral.